This is a long non-coding RNA of Mya arenaria, 1819 nucleotides long. RefSeq lists it as uncharacterized. The transcript has 3 exons. The record is from RefSeq and is a predicted model, not a curated record. Lineage: Eukaryota; Metazoa; Mollusca; Bivalvia; Myida; Myidae.
GGAAAAUCCGUGGAUUUUCAUCCUGCACUCGUCUAUACAAAGCUCUUUCGGCGAGUUUCUUCAAGUAGACAUGACAAGGUUACGUAAGAAAAAACCCUUUGCAGAGAAGCAGUAUAAGUGUUGAACAUAUAGCACUGAUCUUACAGGCAGAAAAUACUAUAUAAGGGCACAAAUCUGAAAUUGAUUAUGCGGUGAAAAGGAGCAGUUGAACAUGUGGCAUCUCUGUAACAUGGAUGAUUACUGUUCAAAGACACAUGGUGUGUAAAUAAGAGAGAAGCCACUAAUAAACAUAUUUAUGAAAUCCUUGUACUUGUGAACCAAGAUAUAAAAUACUUACCGGUAUAAUGUCACAGGAAAUGAACAAUGAAGCGAACGCAUUCAGGUGUGGAAUAUGUUCCAUUGAUUUUAUGGAUAGCAAGCAUUUACUGAGCCACAUGAAAAAGCACACUAGAGAAAAAUCAUUAGUGUGUGAAACAUGUAAUGCUACUUUUUCCCAAAAAUGUUACUUGCAAAUCCACAUGCGAAUACACACAGGAGAGAAACCAUACAAAUGUGAUAUAUGCGCUGCGACUUUUGCAGAUGGAUCUAAUUUCAGGGAUGAUAAAAUUCCGGAUUAAUCCGGAAUUCCGGAUUUAAGGCCUCACGGAUCGAUUUUGAGAUUAAUGUUAAUCCGUUGAGUUUUUUCUAGGGGGGAGGGGUACAGGGAGCGAAUCGAGCUCAGUUCGAACAAUAUGGGUACGAAAGGUGAGUUUUCCGGAAGCGUAAAGUCGGAAAUUAACGAACCUAUUUACGUCUUGGCAAUCGAGCUAUAUGAUUGGUUAAGAUAGCAUCCGGUGAUUACGGAAAUUACCGAUGGGACUAGAAGACAGUAUCCGGAUGGUCGUAUCCGGAUAUGACAGACGACGAAGACGAAUAAACGGGUAUUGGAAAAUUGGAGAAAAACGACCACCACCAACUUUUAAAAACAUCGAUUCGUCGAUUUAAAGGUUAUGUUGAUGGUUACAAAAGUCAGGGAUGAACAGACACCUCAGCCAGUGCAUCCAGUUAUUCCUGUCAAUGACUGACAAUUUAAUCCAGAGGCCAUGAUACUUGGAUUUAUGGCUGAACAUGCUCCCUGGCACCACAGUAGUGUGUCUUACUUAAGACACUUGCCAAAGAUACAAAAGCUCUCAGCGAAUUAAAACUUCAAAGGUGUACAGCAUCAUACAAGAUGACUUACGGAGUGGCUAGCCAUUUCAAUGAUGAACAUGUGGAGGAGUUAAUGUAUCUCGGUUUUGUUUCAACUAAGACAAGUCAACAAACACAAUGAGAAAACUGUUGCAGCUAUUUUUCUGCUAUAGAGAAAAAAAUAGUGUUGAGACAUUUGGCCUCCUUAAAAAUCACUAGGGCUGAUUCUGAAUCAAUUUUCAUAGAAUUUGAAAGCCUGUUUGAGAGACUUGAACUGCCGUGGGAUAAUCUAGUUUGUGUUCUACUGGACUCAUGUAACACCAUGAGGGGAAAUAAUCUGGCUUAGGGACCAGAAUACGUCAAAGUCCACCAUGUCCACAACAGCUACGCUGCCAAAGCAUUUAAGUCCCGUUUGGAUAUUACUUGGAAUAAUAUAUAUAAUAAUUAAUAACACUAUAUUCUCAUCAAAUGUGCAGAAAAUGGAAUAAAUACUCUUUUUAUGAUACAUAAAAAUUGAAUAAUUAACACUUUUACAAUAAACAUUUGCAAGCAUCAUAAUCGAUAUGUUGUUCAUUAUUAUAAAUCAAACAUCCCACAGUGUAGACUGUUCAUACACAAGCAUUUGAUCAUAGCCAGUUGAGUUUUAUGGGAA